Molecule: ribosomal RNA, 442 nt
Filed under: uncultured bacterium
Lineage: Bacteria
Description: partial 16S ribosomal RNA
Rfam family: Bacterial small subunit ribosomal RNA
Source: RNAcentral
CCUACGGGUGGCUGCAGUGGGGGAUAUUGCACAAUGGGGGAAACCCUGAUGCAGCGACGCCGCGUGGGCGAAGAAGUAUUUCGGUAUGUAAAGCCCUAUCAGCCGGGAAGAAGAAAUGACGGUACCUGAGUAAGAAGCACCGGCCAAAUACGUGACAGCAGCCGCGGUAAUACGUAGGGUGCACGCGUUAUCCGGAUUUACUGGGGGUAAAGGGAGCGCAGGCGGCACGGCAAGCCUGAUGGGAAAGCCCGGGGCCCAACCCCGGGACUGCAGUGGGAACUACCGGGCUGGAGUGCCGGAGAGGUAGGCGGAAUUCGUAGUGUAGCGGUGAAAUGCGUAGAUAUUAGGAGGAACACCAGUGGCGAAGGCAGCCUACUGGACGGUGACUGACGCUGAGGCUCGAAAGCGUGGGGAGCAAACAGGAUUAGAUACCCCAGUAGUC